This 433-nucleotide ribosomal RNA is filed under the name uncultured bacterium. Its description in RNAcentral is "partial 16S ribosomal RNA". It matches the Rfam family "Bacterial small subunit ribosomal RNA", at positions 29 to 507 of the family's 1533-position model. The record is from RNAcentral.
AGCGAACGCUGGCGGCAUGCCUAACACAUGCAAGUCGAACGAACUCUUCGGAGUUAGUGGCGGACGGGUGCGUAACACGUGGGAACGUGCCUUUUGGUUCGGAAUAACUCAGGGAAACUUGUGCUAAUACCGAAUGUGCCCUUCGGGGGAAAGAUUUAUCGCCAUUAGAGCGGCCCGCGUCUGAUUAGCUAGUUGGUGAGGUAACGGCUCACCAAGGCGACGAUCAGUAGCUGGUCUGAGAGGAUGACCAGCCACACUGGGACUGAGACACGGCCCAGACUCCUACGGGAGGCAGCAGUGGGGAAUAUUGCGCAAUGGGCGAAAGCCUGACGCAGCCAUGCCGCGUGAAUGAUGAAGGUCUUAGGAUUGUAAAGUUCUUUCACCGGGGACGAUAAUGACGGUACCCGGAGAAGAAGCCCCGGCUAACUUCGUG